This 254-nucleotide ribosomal RNA is filed under the name uncultured bacterium. RNAcentral's name for it is "partial 16S ribosomal RNA". It matches the Rfam family "Bacterial small subunit ribosomal RNA", at positions 524 to 776 of the family's 1533-position model. The record is from RNAcentral.
CACGUAGGGGGCGAGCGUUGUCCGGAUUUAUUGGGCGUAAAGAGCUCGUAGGCGGUUCGGCAAGUCGGGUGUGAAAUUUCGAGGCUCAACCUCGAAACGCCACUCGAUACUGCUGUGACUGGAGUCCGGUAGAGGAGUGCGGAAUUCCUGGUGUAGCGGUGAAAUGCGCAGAUAUCAGGAGGAACACCGAUGGCGAAGGCAGAUCUCUGGGCCUUACCUGACGCUGAGGAGCGAAAGCUGGGGGAGCGAACAGG